Molecule: small RNA, 26 nt
Filed under: Bombyx mori (domestic silkworm)
Lineage: Eukaryota; Metazoa; Arthropoda; Insecta; Lepidoptera; Bombycidae
Description: ovarian small RNA-34200
Source: RNAcentral
UGCUGAACUACUACCGGCGUUGUUCC